UACGGAGGGUGCAAGCGUUAUCCGGAUUUAUUGGGUUUAAAGGGUCCGUAGGCGGAUCUGUAAGUCAGUGGUGAAAUCUCACAGCUUAACUGUGAAACUGCCAUUGAUACUGCAGGUCUUGAGUGUUAUUGAAGUAGCUGGAAUAAGUAGUGUAGCGGUGAAAUGCAUAGAUAUUACUUAGAACACCAAUUGCGAAGGCAGGUUACUAAGCAACAACUGAGGCUGAUGGACGAAAGCGUGGGGAGCGAACAGG
This 253-nucleotide ribosomal RNA is filed under the name uncultured bacterium. RNAcentral's name for it is "partial 16S ribosomal RNA". It matches the Rfam family "Bacterial small subunit ribosomal RNA", at positions 524 to 776 of the family's 1533-position model. The record is from RNAcentral.